UACGGAGGGGGCUAGCGUUGUUCGGAAUUACUGGGCGUAAAGCGCGCGUAGGCGGCUUUGUAAGUUAGAGGUGAAAGCCCGGAGCUCAACUCCGGAACUGCCUUUAAGACUGCAUCGCUAGAAUUGUGGAGAGGUAAGUGGAAUUCCGAGUGUAGAGGUGAAAUUCGUAGAUAUUCGGAAGAACACCGGUGGCGAAGGCGGCCUUCUGGACAGUGACUGACGCUGAGACGCGAAAGCGUGGGGAGCAAACAGG
Molecule: ribosomal RNA, 253 nt
Filed under: uncultured bacterium
Lineage: Bacteria
Description: partial 16S ribosomal RNA
Rfam family: Bacterial small subunit ribosomal RNA
Source: RNAcentral